AGCAGCCGCGGUAAUUCCAGCUCCAAUAGCGUAUAUUAAAGUUGUUGCAGUUAAAAAUGCUCGUAGUUGAACUUCGGGGUUUACUCAUUGGUCAGGCUUAAUUGUCUGUACUGGUGAGAUGAAUCUCUACCUUCUGAGGAACUUUCAUGCCAUUUAUUUGGUGUGGUUGGAAAUCAGGACUGUUACUUUGAAAAAAGUUAGAGUGUUUAAAGCAGGCUAACGUCUGAAUACAUUAGCAUGGAAUAAUGAAAUAGGACGGAUUGAUUCUAUUUCGUUGGUUUCUAGGGUCACCGUAAUGAUUAAUAGGGAUAGUUGGGGGCAUUAGUAUUCAAUUGUCAGAGGUGAAAUUCUUGGAUUUUAUUGAAGACUAACUACUGCGAAAGCAUUUGCCAAGGAUGUUUUCAUUAAUCAAGAACGAAAGUUAGGGGAUCGAAGACGAUCAGAUACCGUCGUAGUCUUAACCAUAAACCUAUGCCGACUAGGGAUCGGACGAAGUUAAUUAAUAAUGACGCGUUCGGCA
RNAcentral lists this ribosomal RNA (520 nucleotides) under uncultured Diversispora. RNAcentral describes it as "SSU rRNA". It matches the Rfam family "Eukaryotic small subunit ribosomal RNA", at positions 569 to 1085 of the family's 1831-position model. The record is from RNAcentral. Lineage: Eukaryota; Fungi; Glomeromycota; Glomeromycetes; Diversisporales; Diversisporaceae.